AGAAGAUCCUUAAAUUUCCUGUCAAUUUUUUAAAAUAUCUUUUUUUUUCAAAUAGCUGAAGUAUUCAUGCGUUGUGAGAUUUAAAAUAUUUUGAUGAGAACAUUAAUUCCUAAAUAGUUAAAUAAAGAUCGCUUUGGAUGGACUAAAUUAUAUAAUUGCACCGUACGACCAUCCAAUACAAGCAAAGCCCCUACCGCAAAGUCAGCUAAUUGACAAUGUAAAACAAUUCAAACGAAAAAAAUUAAAAAAACAGCCUAAUUUAUUUAAGAGAAAAUGAACGAAAAACAAAUAGGUAACACAUUAACAAACGACAACCACUGAAUUACAGACCACUGACUUGGAACAGGC
RNAcentral lists this long non-coding RNA (348 nucleotides) under Mytilus galloprovincialis (Mediterranean mussel). Lineage: Eukaryota; Metazoa; Mollusca; Bivalvia; Mytilida; Mytilidae. The record is from RNAcentral.